GAUGAACGCUGGCGGCGUGCCUAAUACAUGCAAGUCGAGCGAACAGAUAAGGAGCUUGCUCCUUUGAAGUUAGCGGCGGACGGGUGAGUAACACGUGGGUAACCUACCUAUAAGACUGGGAUCACUUCGGGAAACCGGAGCUAAUACCGGAUAACAUUUAGAACCGCAUGGUUCUAAAGUGAAAGAUGGUUUUGCUAUCACUUAUAGAUGGACCCGCGCCGUAUUAGCUAGUUGGUAAGGUAACGGCUUACCAAGGCGACGAUACGUAGCCGACCUGAGAGGGUGAUCGGCCACACUGGAGCUGAGACACGGUCCAGGCUCCUGCGGGAGGCAGCAGUAGGGAAUCUUCCGCAGUGGGCGAAAACCUGACGGAACAACGCCGCGUGAGAGGUGGAAGGUUUCGGCUCGUAAAACUCUGUUAUUAGGGAAAAACAGAUGUGUAAGGAACUGUACACAUCUUGACGGUACCUAAUCAGAAAGCCACGGCUAACUACGUG
This 497-nucleotide ribosomal RNA is filed under the name uncultured bacterium. RNAcentral's name for it is "partial 16S ribosomal RNA". It matches the Rfam family "Bacterial small subunit ribosomal RNA", at positions 28 to 507 of the family's 1533-position model. The record is from RNAcentral.